GACCUCGGAUCAGGUAGGACCACCCGCUGAACUUAAGCAUAUCAAUAAGCGGA
RNAcentral lists this ribosomal RNA (53 nucleotides) under Gibellula gamsii. RNAcentral describes it as "partial 28S ribosomal RNA". The record is from RNAcentral. Lineage: Eukaryota; Fungi; Ascomycota; Sordariomycetes; Hypocreales; Cordycipitaceae.